GACGAACGCUGGCGGCGUGCUUAACACAUGCAAGUCGAACGGAAAGGCCCUGCUUUUGUGGGGUGCUCGAGUGGCGAACGGGUGAGUAACACGUGAGUAACCUGCCCUUGACUUUGGGAUAACUUCAGGAAACUGGGGCUAAUACCGGAUAGGAGCUCCUGCUGCAUGGUGGGGGUUGGAAAGUUUCGGCGGUUGGGGAUGGACUCGCGGCUUAUCAGCUUGUUGGUGGGGUAGUGGCUUACCAAGGCUUUGACGGGUAGCCGGCCUGAGAGGGUGACCGGCCACAUUGGGACUGAGAUACGGCCCAGACUCCUACGGGAGGCAGCAGUGGGGAAUAUUGCACAAUGGGCGGAAGCCUGAUGCAGCAACGCCGCGUGCGGGAUGACGGCCUUCGGGUUGUAAACCGCUUUCGCCUGUGACGAAGCGUGAGUGACGGUAAUGGGUAAAGAAGCACCGGCUAACUACGUGCCAGCAGCCGCGGUGAUACGUAGGGUGCGAGCGUUGUCCGGAUUUAUUGGGCGUAAAGGGCUCGUAGGUGGUUGAUCGCGUCGGAAGUGUAAUCUUGGGGCUUAACCCUGAGCGUGCUUUCGAUACGGGUUGACUUGAGGAAGGUAGGGGAGAAUGGAAUUCCUGGUGGAGCGGUGGAAUGCGCAGAUAUCAGGAGGAACACCAGUGGCGAAGGCGGUUCUCUGGGCCUUUCCUGACGCUGAGGAGCGAAAGCGUGGGGAGCGAACAGGCUUAGAUACCCUGGUAGUCCACGCUGUAAACGGUGGGUACUAGGUGUGGGGUCCAUUCCACGGGUUCCGUGCCGUAGCUAACGCUUUAAGUACCCCGCCUGGGAAGUACGGCCGCAAGGCUAAAACUCAAAGGAAUUGACGGGGCCCCGCACAAGCGGCGGAGCAUGCGGAUUAAUUCGAUGCAACGCGUAGAACCUUACCUGGGUUUGACAUGGAUCGGGAGCGCUCAGAGAUGGGUGUGCCUCUUUUGGGGUCGGUUCACAGGUGGUGCAUGGCUGUCGUCAGCUCGUGUCGUGAGAUGUUGGGUUAAGUCCCGCAACGAGCGCAACCCUUGUUCACUGUUGCCAGCACGUUAUGGUGGGGACUCAGUGGAGACCGCCGGGGUCAACUCGGAGGAAGGUGGGGAUGACGUCAAGUCAUCAUGCCCCUUAUGUCCAGGGCUUCACGCAUGCUACAAUGGCUGGUACAGAGAGUGGCGAGCCUGUGAGGGUGAGCGAAUCCCGGAAAGCCGGUCUCAGUUCGGAUUGGGGUCUGCAACUCGACCUCAUGAAGUCGGAGUCGCUAGUAAUCGCAGAUCAGCAACGCUGCGGUGAAUACGUUCCCGGGGCU
Molecule: ribosomal RNA, 1346 nt
Filed under: uncultured bacterium
Lineage: Bacteria
Description: bacterial SSU rRNA
Rfam family: Bacterial small subunit ribosomal RNA
Source: RNAcentral